This 301-nucleotide ribosomal RNA is filed under the name uncultured bacterium. Its description in RNAcentral is "partial 16S ribosomal RNA". It matches the Rfam family "Bacterial small subunit ribosomal RNA", at positions 509 to 807 of the family's 1533-position model. The record is from RNAcentral.
CAGUCGCCGCGGUAAUACGGAGGGUGCAAGCGUUAAUCGGAAUUACUGGGCGUAAAGCGCACGCAGGCGGUCUGACAAGUCAGAUGUGAAAUCCCCGGGCUUAACCUGGGAACUGCAUUUGAAACUGUCAGGCUGGAGUCUUGUAGAGGGGGGUAGAAUUGCAGGUGUAGCGGUGAAAUGCGUAGAGAUCUGGAGGAAUACCGGUGGCGAAGGCGGCCCCCUGGACAAAGACUGACGCUCAGGUGCGAAAGCGUGGGGAGCAAACAGGAUUAGAUACCCGCGUAGUCCCUGUCUCUUAUAC